CCUACGGGUGGCAGCAGUCGAGAAUCAUUCACAAUGGGGGAAACCCUGAUGGUGCGACGCCGCGUGGGGGAAUGAAGGUCUUCGGAUUGUAAACCCCUGUCAUGUGGGAGCAAAUUAAAAAGAUAGUACCACAAGAGGAAGAGACGGCUAACUCUGUGCCAGCAGCCGCGGUAAUAGGGAGGUCUCAAGCGUUGUUCGGAAUCACUGGGCGUAAGGCGUGCGUAGGCGGUUUCGUAAGGCGUGUGUGAAAGGCGCGGGCUCAACCCGCGGACGGAACAUGAUACUGCGAGACUAGAGUAAUGGAGGGGGAACCGGAAUUCUCGGUGUAGCAGGGAAAUGCGUAGAUAUCGAGAGGAACACUCGUGGCGAAGGCGGGUUCCUGGACAUUAACUGACGCUGAGGCACGAAGGCCAGGGGAGCGAAAGGGAUUAGAUACCCGUGUAGUC
Molecule: ribosomal RNA, 446 nt
Filed under: uncultured bacterium
Lineage: Bacteria
Description: partial 16S ribosomal RNA
Rfam family: Bacterial small subunit ribosomal RNA
Source: RNAcentral